Molecule: ribosomal RNA, 523 nt
Filed under: uncultured bacterium
Lineage: Bacteria
Description: bacterial SSU rRNA
Rfam family: Bacterial small subunit ribosomal RNA
Source: RNAcentral
UUGAGUUUGAUCCUGGCUCAGGACGAACGCUGGCGGCGUGCUUAACACAUGCAAGUCGAGCGGUAAGGCCUUUCGGGGUACACGAGCGGCGAACGGGUGAGUAACACGUGGGUGAUCUGCCCUGCACUUCGGGAUAAGCCUGGGAAACUGGGUCUAAUACCGGAUAUGACCUCAGGUUGCAUGACUUGGGGUGGAAAGAUUUAUCGGUGCAGGAUGGGCCCGCGGCCUAUCAGCUUGUUGGUGGGGUAAUGGCCUACCAAGGCGACGACGGGUAGCCGACCUGAGAGGGUGACCGGCCACACUGGGACUGAGACACGGCCCAGACUCCUACGGGAGGCAGCAGUGGGGAAUAUUGGACAAUGGGCGAAAGCCUGAUCCAGCCAUGCCGCGUGUGUGAAGAAGGUCUUCGGAUUGUAAAGCACUUUAAGUUGGGAGGAAGGGCAGUUACCUAAUACGUGAUUGUUUUGACGUUACCGACAGAAUAAGCACCGGCUAACUCUGUGCCAGCAGCCGCGGUAAAAUC